This is a long non-coding RNA of Anoplophora glabripennis (Asian longhorned beetle), 1247 nucleotides long. RefSeq lists it as uncharacterized. Lineage: Eukaryota; Metazoa; Arthropoda; Insecta; Coleoptera; Cerambycidae. The record is from RefSeq and is a predicted model, not a curated record. The transcript has 2 exons.
UUUUCGAUUAAGUUGGCAUGGCAACAUAUGUUUAUAUAUUUUACGAGAAUUUUUUAUUUUCGAGUUGUGUAAGAAAUUUUUCACGUUUCAGUUUAUAAUCCGUGUAAAAAUAAAAACUAUAGCAUAAUAUCUGUUCCUAGUUUUUCGUUUUUUAGUAGGUGUACAUUAUAAACUAUGGACCCAAUAUUCCUACAUUUGCUACAGGAAGCAGAAGAUGAAGAACGACAAAACCAAUUACGUUUGGAGAGAAGAAUUUUGCGAGAUGAACAAAAUGCUUUCGAAUUGCCCGAACGAGAAUUCCAGAAAUGCUUCAGGCUAAGUCGACAGUUGGUACAAGAUCUCAUUCGUGAACUUACCCCCCAUAUGAACGCAGGAACUAGAGCAACAAGAGUUACAUAUCCAUAUCAGGAUCUUUGCAGCCCUAAGUUUUUUUGCUCACGGCUCAUAUCAGAAGGCAAGCGGAAAUGAAAUGCAUGUGGUCCUAUCACAACCUGCAUUUAGCCGGGCACUAUAUGAGGUGUGUUUGGCUCUAGAGGCCAUUGCCCAUAGGUGGAUAAAAUUUCCCAUAACUGAAGCCGAAAAGCAAGAAAAAAAAGAAGAGUAUGGCCCGGUUUGGAUUUCCAGGGGUGGUAGGCUGCAUCGAUGGCACUCAUAUUGCCAUUGUUGCACCACGAGAAGAUGAACAUUUAUAUUUCAAUAGAAAACAAUAUCAUUCGAAGAAUGUACAAUUAAUAUGCGCCGCGAAUCUAAUGAUAUUAAAUGUUAAGUCCAAUUAUGGUGGUGCAUUUCUCAAUGCGUUUAUUUGGAGAAAUUCCAACGUAAGGACACAUUUAGAACAAAUGUAUGAUCAGGGUGAUCACAAUUCGUGGCUACUUGGAGACAGUGGCUACACUCAAGAGCCAUGGCUUAUGACUCCUAUUCAAGGUGUGCCCAGAGAUACUCCCGAAGGUAGAUAUUUACGGCAGCUUUAACAAGUACCAGAAAUUGUGUGGAAAGAUGUAUAGAAGUAUUGAAAAACCGAUUUCGCUAUCUACUGAAGGACAGGGCCUUAAAUUAUGACCCCUUCAAAGCCGGCCAAAUCAUCAAUGCAGUUAGUGUUCUACACAAUAUGUGUGUUAGGGCUAAUCUGGCCAUCGAAGGUGAUGAAGAGGAGGAACGUGAUGACGAAGAAAAUAUUCCUGAUGAGGAUAGAGUUGGUACUGCAAGAAAUGUCCUUGUACAAGGGCAGGCGAGAAGAGCUAAUAUAA